Molecule: long non-coding RNA, 237 nt
Filed under: Capsicum annuum
Lineage: Eukaryota; Viridiplantae; Streptophyta; Magnoliopsida; Solanales; Solanaceae
Description: long non-coding RNA (CANN_LNC001653)
Source: RNAcentral
CUUUUUCCAUACCACUUGAUGAUAAUGAAGUUGUGGUUUGUAUGUGCUCAUAGUGUCCACCACCUCUGGCCAUGUCUAGUUCUGCAGUUUUAUCCAAGGAUAAAGAUUCUUGAUCAGUUUUUUUAUCACUUCUUGUAUCUGUAUUACCAUCCCCUUAAAAGAAAUGAACCCUCCAUGUUUAAAAGAAUUUCUCCUUUUCCAUAAGGUCCACAUGAUUAUGGCUGGUAUAGCUUUACA